RNAcentral lists this long non-coding RNA (881 nucleotides) under Dasypus novemcinctus (nine-banded armadillo). RNAcentral's name for it is "lncRNA (ENSDNOG00000052388.1)". The record is from RNAcentral. Lineage: Eukaryota; Metazoa; Chordata; Mammalia; Cingulata; Dasypodidae.
GAAAACUCCCUGUACCUCUGCCUGCUUCUCUGCUCAUGGAAGUUUCUCAACCCUCCUCCUCAGAACCUCAGCUAUGUUCUCUAGUUCAGACACCUGCAUGUGGUUGUUUUGCUUUGCUCUUUGGUACUUCAGUGUAUUUAGUUCUGUUUUGAAAGGGGAAAAAAUGAGGGAUAUUACAACUACCUAUAGAAUUUUAUUAUUUUAUCAUUAUCUUAUUUUUUCUUCUUUGAAAUAUUUGAACCAGAACAUUACAGCCCCAGACACUUGGAAAGCAUCGUCAUUGUCUUCUGGGCUGAUUUGUAGGUCCCAGUUCUCACCUCAAAGCUGAGACAAUACCUUCCCACCCCCAGCUUUGGUAGCUGCUUCCUUUCCAGCUCUGUGCGUGCUCCAGGCUGGAGGCCCAGCUCCUUCCCCAGGUAAGCACUGGAGUCAGUUAAACCUGGUUCCGCACAACCAAGAGUUACCCUGGCUCAUUCCUUUAACAUGAAGUUGCUUCUUAAUUUAUGGCCUUGAUGACAUCUCCUUUUGAUUUUAACUGUUUAUACAUAUUUCAACUGUGUAAGAGAGAGUAAACCACCUUCCAGAAGCCUGGACCAGCCUAUACCACUGAGGUCAAGAAUUCAGAAAGUGGAGCCAGCGUCUUGGUGAGUCAGACAUACUAUUUGCUGAGUAUCUGUUAUAUGUCAUCCUCACAAUUCUUUCAGGUAAGUUUUAUUUUUUUUACAAGAAAAAAGAGAGAAAAAAAUAAGAUUUGUUCCAUCUGUCUUUAGGAAUUUAAGCAUGGAUAAUCUAACUCAAGUAUGUAAGGGGAAGAAAUGUAAAUUCCACCUUCCUUUGUAAAAGAUUUCUUCCGAGUCAUUCUUAAAGGACUUUGGACUCUG